Molecule: ribosomal RNA, 465 nt
Filed under: uncultured Klebsiella sp.
Lineage: Bacteria; Pseudomonadati; Pseudomonadota; Gammaproteobacteria; Enterobacterales; Enterobacteriaceae
Description: bacterial SSU rRNA
Rfam family: Bacterial small subunit ribosomal RNA
Source: RNAcentral
CCUACGGGAGGCAGCAGUGGGGAAUAUUGCACAAUGGGCGCAAGCCUGAUGCAGCCAUGCCGCGUGUGUGAAGAAGGCCUUCGGGUUGUAAAGCACUUUCAGCGGGGAGGGAGGCGGUGAGGUUAAUAACCUCAUCGAUUGACGUUACCCGCAGAAGAAGCACCGGCUAACUCCGUGCCAGCAGCCGCGGUAAUACGGAGGGUGCAAGCGUUAAUCGGAAUUACUGGGCGUAAAGCGCACGCAGGCGGUCUGUCAAGUCGGAUGUGAAAUCCCCGGGCUCAACCUGGGAACUGCAUUCGAAACUGGCAGGCUAGAGUCUUGUAGAGGGGGGUAGAAUUCCAGGUGUAGCGGUGAAAUGCGUAGAGAUCUAGAGGAAUACCGGUGGCGAAGGCGGCCCCCUGGACAAAGACUGACGCUCAGGUGCGAAAGCGUGGGGAGCAAACAGGAUUAGAUACCCGAGUAGUC